This 466-nucleotide ribosomal RNA is filed under the name uncultured bacterium. RNAcentral describes it as "bacterial SSU rRNA". It matches the Rfam family "Bacterial small subunit ribosomal RNA", at positions 8 to 475 of the family's 1533-position model. The record is from RNAcentral.
AGAGUUUGAUCAUGGCUCAGAUUGAACGCUGGCGGUAUGCUUAACACAUGCAAGUCGAACGCGAAAGCACCUUCGGGUGUAAGUAGAGUGGCGGACGGGUGAGUAAGGCAUGGGAAUCUGCCCUAUAGCGGGGGAUAACUUGGGGAAACCCAAGCUAAUACCGCAUACACCUACGGGUAAAAGAUGGCCUCUUCUUGAAAGCUAUUACUAUAGGAUGAGCCCAUGUAAGAUUAGCUAGUUGGUAGGGUAAAAGCCUACCAAGGCUACGAUCUUUAGCUGGUCCGAGAGGACGAUCAGCCACACUGGGACUGAGACACGGCCCAGACUCCUACGGGAGGCAGCAGUGGGGAAUAUUGGACAAUGGGGGCAACCCUGAUCCAGCAAUACCGCGUGUGUGAAGAAGGCCUGCGGGUUGUAAAGCACUUUUAUCUGUGAGGAAGGGUUUAAUGUUAAUACCAUUAGACAU